Molecule: ribosomal RNA, 1209 nt
Filed under: Trypanosoma sp.
Lineage: Eukaryota; Euglenozoa; Kinetoplastea; Trypanosomatida; Trypanosomatidae
Description: SSU rRNA
Rfam family: Eukaryotic small subunit ribosomal RNA
Source: RNAcentral
AUCAGACGUAAUCUGCCGCAAUAGUUUUGCGGUUUCCGCAAUAUUGGAUAACUUGGCGAAACGCCAAGCUAAUACAUGAACCAACCGGGCGUGCUCUGCUCCGCGGCGGAAAGGUGUAACCCCCUUUCUUGUCGUUACGGGUCGCCCAGCGAAUGAACGAAAUUAAAACCAAUGCCCUGUUGACGGGCAGUAACACCCAGAAGUGUUGAAUCAGUUCAUUCCGUGCGAAAGCCGGCUUAGCCGGCGUCUUCUGACGAACAACUGCCCUAUCAGCUGGUGAUGGCCGUGUAGUGGACUGCCAUGGCGUUGACGGGAGCGGGGGAUUAGGGUUCGAUUCCGGAGAGGGAGCCUGAGAAAUAGCUACCACUUCUACGGAGGGCAGCAGGCGCGCAAAUUGCCCAAUGUCAAAAAAAAACGAUGAGGCAGCGAAAAGAAAUAGAGUCAGCAGUGCCAUAGGCAUUGUUGUUUUCAAUGGGGGAUACUUAGACCCAUCCAAAAUCGAGUAACAAUUGGAGGACAAGUCUGGUGCCAGCACCCGCGGUAAUUCCAGCUCCAAAAGCUUAUAUUAAUGCUGUUGCUGUUAAAGGGUUCGUAGUUGAAUUGGGGGCCUUUCUUUUUUUAAGGCGCACGGUUUUGCCCCGUCCACCUCGGACUGGUGGCCCGUGCCCUUGGGGGCCUGUGAACACUCAGAAACAAAAAACACGGGAGCGGUUCCUUCCUGAUUUUCGCAUGUCAUGCAUGCCAGGGGGCGCCCGUGAUUUUUUACUGUGACUAAAAAAGUGCGACCAAAGCAGUCAGUCGACUUGAAUUAAAAAGCAUGGGAUAACAAAGGAGCAGCCUAUGGGCCACCGUUUCGGCUUUUGUUGGUAUUAAAAGUCCAUUGGAGAUUAUGGGGCCGUGUGACAAGUGAUCGGGUGUGCGUGCGUACAAAUUUCAUUUGUGUCUUCCCCGAAGUUUUUCGGUGCGGGAGAUUAUCGCCCACACCCGUCGCCUUCGGGAGGGAUUUGUGGCGCGUUGCGGUUGCUGUGUUCUUUGAUGGCUUUGGCCAUCAUCCCACACAACCCAGCGUUUUUGCCUCCUCUCUCGACUUGCGGCAUCCAGGAAUGAAGGAGGGUAGUUCGGGGAAGAACGUAUUGGUGCGUCAGAGGUGAAAUUCUUAGACCGCACCAGGACGAACUACAGCGAAGGCAUUCUUCAAGGAUACCUUCC